Triticum aestivum (bread wheat) is the source of this 135-nucleotide non-coding RNA. The record is from Rfam. NCBI's taxonomy places the organism in Eukaryota, Viridiplantae, Streptophyta, Magnoliopsida, Poales, Poaceae.
AAACUACUCCCUCCGUCCUAAAAUUCUUGUCUUAAAUUUGUCUAGAUAUGGAUGUAUCUAAUAGUAAAAUGUGACUUGAUACGUCCAUAUUUAGACAAAUCUAAGACAAAUUGUUUGUGAUGGAGGGAGUAGAAU